Molecule: long non-coding RNA, 1923 nt
Organism: Monopterus albus (swamp eel)
Lineage: Eukaryota; Metazoa; Chordata; Actinopteri; Synbranchiformes; Synbranchidae
Exons: 4
Source: RefSeq, a predicted model, not a curated record
CGGACUAGGAUGGCAGGUCGGACUGCAGUAAGUGUGUGUAAAAUUUGAGCUGCUGAGUAGAUCAAAAACUAAAGUCCUGGUGGUUUUUGGUGAACCAUGAGCAACAUGUGGUUCAGGUUUAGGAAUCAGUGACAAAGACCAGGUACCAGAUCCAGACCAGGGCAUUAGGAUCCCGUCACAGGCAGCGGAGUAAAAAAAAAAUCAUACCUUUCCUUUUAUGGCCUAGAAGUGUUCACAGUUUCAAUAGUUAACUACACAACAAAUUACAAAAACAGUAAUUAGAAUGUAGUGAAGUAACGAGCAGAAAGUGGAAACUAAGUAGGCGGCGGCCUUUUUCUACGCAUGCGCGUCCUCUGCUCACGGGGUCACGUUCAGCGCCGUUUGAAAACUUUGGAGCUUGGAUCAUGCAGAAGUGGAUUAACCAGCAACUGACCGGGGAACUUUCUGUGGUUGGCUGCUAAGUAUUUCCACCAUUAGACUUCGUAUGAACAGACAGCGACCACUGGAGAAGAGACGCUGACUAUCACAGAGCCACAGGAAGCGCCAUCCACCUGAGAGAAUAACAUCACAAUGCAACAAGAGGGCAGAGGAGGAACCAGUUACACCUAGGGUGGCAGAGUUCAUGAUCUAUUAACUUCACUGGAGGACAAUGAUUUGGAUGAAACUGUGACCCGAAUUCUGCAGCAGCAUCCCAAUUGUGGACACAAAAUGAUGGCUGUGCACCUGAAUGCACAAGGCAUCUGCAUAUAAAGACAGCGUGUCCAGGAGUCCAUGUGGCGUGGGGAUCCUCAUGGAGUUUGAAUGCGUACCCUUCAGCUGAACCCACAGAGGCGCAUUGACGGCAAUCACAAACUGUUAAGGUAUCUGAAAAGCAUUAAACAUCUCAAGCAUUGCAUAUAAACUGAGGUUUAUAAAUAUCCACUUCACUGUAGGUUUUGCCAGUGAAAAUAUGUUUCAGAUGUAGUAGCUUUUUAAAGUGGUCUGUAUGUACAGGUUAAUUAAAAACUAUUUGGACUAUGGCAUAUAUUCUCUUUUUGGCAAAGUGUUCUUUAUUUAUGAUUUGGAAUUCUAUUUAUUUGGUAAUGUUUAAGUACUGACUUUCACUUUUAAUUUGAAGUUGUUUACAUUGACUUCUGAUAAGUAUGGUAGGAAUUAUGUAAUCCUCUUUAUACUUUCUAAAAGGGGCUUAAAAGGGCCUUGACUCUCACAGUGACUCCAGCAUGAAUGUGAACAUCCUCAAAUUAAAGCUUGUAGUCAACACUUCCAUUGCUUUCAAGUCAUGGCUUUCAUUGCAAAUCCAAUAGCUUGAUUAAAGAAAAGCUAAAUUAUCAGUGACCACACCUUUUGACUAUAAUGUAUAAUACUGUUGUAAGAAAGUAUCUCACAAUGGAAAAAGUACAGCAUGCUGUUGGCCUCAAAGGUUAUUUUAAGUCAAUAUACUCAGAAUCUUGUGUAAAUCCACUUCACUGUUGAGGUGAUAUAGCUGUGUAUUUUGGUGUAUAUCGCAGAGUAAAUCCAUGUGUUAACUGAAAUUAUGUGAACUGGAAUUAUAGUACAGUAUAUACAUAGACUCACUGCUGACCUAUAACUUUAUCAUGAUUUUUAUUUAUGUUUUAAGUGUAAUGGAACAGAUAUUUUUAAGUUUAAAGCCUUCAGAUAAAAUAGCUCUAUUCCAAAAUACAGUACAAUAUGUUCUGUGUCACUCUGGACCAAGCUUGCACAGAGGGACAUUAUGCAGGUAAUGUUAAUUGUUUUAAUAUUUGCUCAUACUGUAUAUAUUUCUCAGAGGUGGCACUGAGUAGUUUGUAUUGCUGACCCCUGCUCUCUCACUCUCCUGUGGUGUUGUCAACAUGCUCACAAGUCUACUGUUAGGUAUUUUUAGUCAGAUAGACAUUGGUUAGGUACUUGUAUGUAUUAGAAAUG